GGUCAGAAGACAGACGAGAUCAUCUUCACCUUUUCAGGCCCAAGUCAACACAGCCUCUCUGCUAAGACAACUCGAACAUGAAGAUGAUACACUUGAUCCUGAUGGUAGUGAUGGCCUUCUCGGCCCUAAUGGGGCCAGCUCGAGCCCUCCCUGACCCCUUAGCCCUGGCUGACCCUGGGCCUAAUGCUCUUGCUGACCCCUUAGCCUUGGCUGAUCCUGGUCCAGAAGCCCUUGCUGACCCUAGACACGGGUGGUGUUGGCCCCACGGAGACCACUGGCACUGCCACCCCCGCAGAGGGUGAUGUCCACCUGCCUCCUCACCUCAUCCCUACACCAACAGCUUCCCGGAUCCAUAUACCGCUUUAAGGUUCUUUGCCACGGUGUCUCACUUUGCUUAAGCAGCUUUAGGCUAUUAUUUUUUGCUUCUGGAAAAUGUUAAAUUGGAUAAUUAUUCAUUGGAAAUAAACAUAUAUAAGUAGAUUA
Long non-coding RNA from Procambarus clarkii (red swamp crayfish), 483 nucleotides. RefSeq lists it as uncharacterized. The record is from RefSeq and is a predicted model, not a curated record. Lineage: Eukaryota; Metazoa; Arthropoda; Malacostraca; Decapoda; Cambaridae.